GCUUAGCCCUUAAACUAAAAGUAGCUCACCCACAACAAAGCUAUUCGCCAGUAGGUACUACUACGCAACAGACCUAAAACUCAAAGGACUUGGCGGUGCUUUACAUCCCUC
This 111-nucleotide ribosomal RNA is filed under the name Chordata environmental sample. RNAcentral's name for it is "partial 12S ribosomal RNA". The record is from RNAcentral. Lineage: Eukaryota; Metazoa; Chordata.